Molecule: ribosomal RNA, 328 nt
Filed under: uncultured eukaryote
Lineage: Eukaryota
Description: partial 18S ribosomal RNA
Rfam family: Eukaryotic small subunit ribosomal RNA
Source: RNAcentral
CCCCUAGAUGUUCUGGGCCGCACGCGCGCUACACUGAACAGUUCAACAAGUCUUAACCUUGGCCGAUAGGUCUGGGUAAUCUUUGAACGCUGUUCGUGAUUGGGAUAGACCUUUGCAAUUAUGGGUCUUCAACGAGGAAUUCCUAGUAAACGCAAGUCAUCAGCUUGCAUUGAUUACGUCCCUGCCCUUUGUACACACCGCCCGUCGCUCCUACCGAUUGAAUGAUCCGGUGAAAUCUUUGGAGUGGAACUUGGUUGUCACCAUUGGUGCGCCUCGUACUGCGAAGUUGCUUAAACCUUAUCAUUUAGAGGAAGGAGAAGUCGUAACA